This 459-nucleotide ribosomal RNA is filed under the name uncultured bacterium. Its description in RNAcentral is "partial 16S ribosomal RNA". It matches the Rfam family "Bacterial small subunit ribosomal RNA", at positions 338 to 795 of the family's 1533-position model. The record is from RNAcentral.
CCUACGGGUGACAGCAGUGAGGAAUAUUGGUCAAUGGCCGAGAGGCUGAACCAGCCAAGUCGCGUGAGGGAAGACGGCCCUACGGGUUGUAAACCUCUUUUGUCGGGGAGCAAAGCGAACCACGUGUGGUUCAUUGAGAGUACCCGAAGAAAAAGCAUCGGCUAACCCCGUGCCAGCGGCCGCGGUAAUACGGAGGAUGCGAGCGUUAUCCGGAUUUAUUGGGUUUAAAGGGUGCGCAGGCGGAGGUGCAAGUCAGCGGUCAAAUUGCGGGGCUCAACCCCGUACUGCCUUUGAAACUGGAACCCUAGAGUGCGCGAGAGGUAUGCGGAAUGCGAGGUGUAGCGGUGAAAUGCAUAGAUAUCACGCAGAACUCCGAUUGCGAAGGCAGCAUACCGGCGCGCAACUGACGCUCAUGCACGAAAGCGUGGGUAUCGAACAGGAUUAGAUACCCGUGUAGUC